This is a long non-coding RNA of Myotis brandtii (Brandt's bat), 96 nucleotides long. RefSeq lists it as uncharacterized. The record is from RefSeq and is a predicted model, not a curated record. The transcript has 3 exons. Lineage: Eukaryota; Metazoa; Chordata; Mammalia; Chiroptera; Vespertilionidae.
GCACUUCCGAUCUGCCUGGCUGCUGCUGCAGGGACCCUGGGAGGGGGACAGAGGCUCAGUGGCAGCCCCUGCUGAUCCCCCACCUGCCCAGCCCCC